AAUUUAAAACUUAUAUUUUGUUUUAUAAUGCUUUUAUCUUUUAAGGUGGUACCUAACACUACAGGGAGAUAACUCUGUAAAAUCAGCUAAACGUUUUAAUUACGUUGUGCUUUAAGGGAAUAUUAAGAUUCUCAAUUAUCAAAAUAAGUAUUUGUCAAACUGCUAUAUAACCAGUGUAAUUUUUCCGAUAAAACGGUUGGUUCAAAUUUUUUGAAAUUUUUAUAUUUUUGUCAAAGAGUCAAAGUAAAUACUUUUUCAAAAUUUUAUGAAAAUUAAACGAGCCAAAUUAAUUUUAGUGAAGGUGUUGGGUACCACCUUAAAAGACUUGUAGUAGUUACAGUUAAGCACACAGCAAAACAGAUGUUUUCAUCCUCAUUGUUUUCAACACUUUAAAUAACCAAGUUUUUAAAGUUAUGUGAUUGACACCUUGUAAUGGGUCCUCGACAACUCUAAACUGCAGCAAGAUGGCAGAUUAUCAGCAUGAGAGAAGCAGGGAUGUCGCUGAAACAACUGCACGUAUUUUUGGUCAUCACCAUUCCACUAUAAGUCGUUUUGAGAAUAAAAAUAAUGCACUAAACGAUGUUAAAGACCUUCCGAGAUAAAGAAGACCCCCUAUACCAUUUGCUAGGGAAAAUCAAGCAUAAUGAAGGUUGGUCAGAAGGAAACCCAUUGCAUACAAUACAAUCCUAAAAAGAGAGUGGUGGGCAUACAGGAGCCUUUUAACAAGAACUGUUCGAAAUCGACUCAUCGCUACUGGUUAUCGUGCGAUAAGACCAUUUCGGAGACCUUUGCUUACGAACAGACACACAGUUUUCCGUAUCCAAUGUAGUGCAGAGCUCGCUAAAGUUGAAAAUUAGCAUCGUGGAGGAAGAUCCAUUGUUUCAAUGGAAUUCGGUUCAUCUUCCUUGGACGGACCGUAGCCCGGCUUUGAACCAUAUCGAGCAUAUAUGGGACACUAUUGGGCGAAGCGUUGCGCGAAAGGACACCCCAGUUCAAACACAUCAUGAAAUAAACAAUGCCCUUCAUCAGAAAUGGUUGCUGCUACCUUAGCAACAAAUUAGUCGAUUUUUGGCAGGAAUCAGAAGACGUUUAGAUGCGGUUAUCCGUUUGAAUGGAGGCUGCGCACAAAGUACUAAUUCUUUGGCGUAUAACGAUCAACCAUGAUGUGAACAGUCAUCUGAAGAUUAAUUUUGAAAUGUCUGACAUUGUAAAGUUCGACUACAGUAAAAGUUGUAAAAUGCAUUUUUUUGUACGAAAAAACACUUCAUUUUGUUAUUAAAAUUGUGAUUAUAUAAAUCAUUUUUUUUUUCAAACAUUUUUUGUUCGUUUCAAUGCCAAUGUUAUCAUAAACUAUGUUUCAAUAAUA
Molecule: long non-coding RNA, 1366 nt
Filed under: Mytilus galloprovincialis (Mediterranean mussel)
Lineage: Eukaryota; Metazoa; Mollusca; Bivalvia; Mytilida; Mytilidae
Source: RNAcentral